CUUACCUUCUGGCCAGAGUUUACUAUUCCUGAACUUAACUACCUCGAUAUUAAUCCGAUGUCGUCAUCUGAACGAGCUUAUCGAGCCGACAAGUGUGCCUUCUGGAGCACGUAUGAACCAAAACUCAAGCAAUUUGCAGCUGACAUGUCCGAAACAGAAGAAUUAUGGAGGAACGAUUACUACAGCUGGAAGUUUAAUGACCUACCUGAAUGGCAGAAGGCUUUCAAUGAUUACAAAGCAAACAAAGUCUGCACCUAAAGGAUACAAAAACUUUAAAUAAUAUGUAGGUCUGUGCCUAAAUUUGAGAAUAUAUUUAAAGGAAGACUGCGAAUCAAAAUACUUACAUACAAAUACUAUAGUUAUUAAUACAAAUUGUUGUAAUAUUAACGUACUAACAACACCACAUGUAUCGUACGGUGGAUUUUUAUUUGGUAAUAGAGACUAGACUUAAUAGGAAUGUGUUAAUAUAUCACAUCGAGUAAGCAAUAGGCCUACUAGAGUUUUAUAAACAGUGGUUCAACAUUUAGUGAUUUUACAUUAUUAUAACUAUUAUUAUUAUUAUUAUUAUUAUUAUUAUUUAUUAAUAUUAUUAAAGCUUAUCAUCCUUUAAAAGGGCAAUAACCUACCAAUUAUGAUUUUGGGAAUAAAAAAUGUUCACCAUUGACUAAUAUAAAGUAUGAACCAACGUACACGUUGUUAAACUUGUAUAUAUUUUAUUGAUGUUUCACGGUAUGUAAUAAUAAUUCACCUUUGAGUAAUUGUGUCGUAAUUACUUUCCAAAAAGAGAAGUAAAAGUGAAUGUGAACAUACAAUUAAACUAUGAACGUACAAUUUCCUAUGUAAAGCAGCGGUUAAUAAUAUGAUUUUUAGCCAAUCAUGAAUUUGAGAAAGUUCUUCAUUUAUUGUUUGGCAAAUUGCAUCGUCAUUGUUUGAUGCAUAAUAUAUGAUAGCAUCAUCUGCAAACAUACUUAAUUUACAUUUCUUUAAAAUUUUUGGUAAGUUAUUUAUGUAUAAUAAAAAGGCAAGCGGACCAAAGAUUGAACCAUGAGGCACGCCACAUUGGAUUAGUACACUCAGACAAUGCAUAAUUUACACUAGUAAACUGCUUUCUUUCCGUAAGAUAUGGUAACUUUAAAACCAUUUUAUUGUAUAUUCGUUGAGACCAUAUAGGCCAAAUUUUUAAAAAUAAAAUGACAUGCUUUUUUUGUCUUUAGUGGGGUCCUCCCACACUUA
Molecule: long non-coding RNA, 1233 nt
Organism: Anneissia japonica
Lineage: Eukaryota; Metazoa; Echinodermata; Crinoidea; Comatulida; Comatulidae
Exons: 2
Source: RefSeq, a predicted model, not a curated record